UGCCAAAGUGUUGAGGGACCGCCUGAGU
RNAcentral lists this non-coding RNA (28 nucleotides) under Mus musculus (house mouse). The record is from RNAcentral. Lineage: Eukaryota; Metazoa; Chordata; Mammalia; Rodentia; Muridae.